RNAcentral lists this unclassified non-coding RNA (557 nucleotides) under Xanthomonas campestris. Its description in RNAcentral is "partial contains 16S-23S ribosomal RNA intergenic spacer and 23S ribosomal RNA". The stretch from base 166 to 239 matches the Rfam family "tRNA". Lineage: Bacteria; Pseudomonadati; Pseudomonadota; Gammaproteobacteria; Lysobacterales; Lysobacteraceae. RNAcentral also lists the same sequence under 3 other names. The record is from RNAcentral.
CGGGCGUCCUCACAAAUUACCUGCAUUCAGAGAUUCAUACCGGCACAGGUCGGUAUGCGAAGUCCCUUUUGGGGCCUUAGCUCAGCUGGGAGAGCACCUGCUUUGCAAGCAGGGGGUCGUCGGUUCGAUCCCGACAGGCUCCACCAUAUUGAGUGAAAAGACUUCGGGUCUGUAGCUCAGGUGGUUAGAGCGCACCCCUGAUAAGGGUGAGGUCGGUAGUUCGAGUCUACCCAGACCCACCACUCUGAAUGUAGUGCACACUUAAGAAUUUAUAUGGAUCAGCGUUGAGGCUGAGACAUGUUCUUUUAUAACUUGUGACGUAGCGAGCGUUUGAGAUAUCUAUCUAAACGUGUCGUUGAGGCUAAGGCGGGGACUUCGAGUCCCUAAAUAAUUGAGUCGUAUGUUCGCGUUGGUGGCUUUGUACCCCACACAACACGGCAUGUAACUCCGAGGCAACUUGGGGUUAUAUGGUCAAGCGAAUAAGCGCACACGGUGGAUGCCUAGGCGGUCAGAGGCGAUGAAGGACGUGGUAGCCUGCGAAAAGUGUCGGGGAGCUG